RNAcentral lists this transfer RNA (66 nucleotides) under Antigonia capros (deepbody boarfish). RNAcentral describes it as "tRNA-Cys". The record is from RNAcentral. Lineage: Eukaryota; Metazoa; Chordata; Actinopteri; Caproiformes; Caproidae.
AGCCCUGAGGUGUUUUACAUAUUAGAUUGCAAAUCUAAAGAAGCAGGCUGACGUCUGCCGGGGCUU